RNAcentral lists this ribosomal RNA (253 nucleotides) under uncultured bacterium. RNAcentral's name for it is "partial 16S ribosomal RNA". It matches the Rfam family "Bacterial small subunit ribosomal RNA", at positions 524 to 776 of the family's 1533-position model. The record is from RNAcentral.
UACGAAGGGGGCUAGCGUUGUUCGGAAUUACUGGGCGUAAAGCGCACGUAGGCGGCUUUGUAAGUUAGAGGUGAAAGCCCAGAGCUCAACUCUGGAACUGCCUUUGAGACUGAGUGGCUUGAGUACGGGAGAGGUGAGUGGAAUUCCCAGUGUAGAGGUGAAAUUCGUAGAUAUUGGGAAGAACACCGGUGGCGAAGGCGGCUCACUGGCCCGUAACUGACGCUCAUGCACGACAGCGUGGGGAUCAAACAGG